RNAcentral lists this ribosomal RNA (734 nucleotides) under uncultured Chlorobiota bacterium. RNAcentral describes it as "bacterial SSU rRNA". It matches the Rfam family "Bacterial small subunit ribosomal RNA", at positions 584 to 1320 of the family's 1533-position model. The record is from RNAcentral. Lineage: Bacteria; Pseudomonadati; Chlorobiota.
UUAGUCAGAGGUGAAAUCCUACAGCUUAACUGUAGAACUGCCUCUGAUACUGCAAAUCUUGAGUUCAGAAGAGAGAAGCGGAAUUCCAGGUGUAGUAGUGAAAUACGUAGAUAUCUGGAAGAACACCAGUGGCGAAGGCGGCUUCUUGGUCUGUAACUGACACUGAGGCGCGAAAGCGUGGGGAGCAAACAGGAUUAGAUACCCUGUAGUCCACGCCCUAAACGAUGAAUACUAGGUGUUGGAUGCAUUUGCAUUCAGUGCCGCAGUUAACGCAUUAAGUAUUCCACCUGGGGAGUACGAUCGCAAGGUUGAAACUCAAAGGAAUUGACGGGGGCCCGCACAAGCAGUGGAGCAUGUGGUUUAAUUCGAUGCAACGCGAAGAACCUUACCUAGGCUUGAAAGGCAAGUGACAGAGUGUGAAAGCACUCCUCCAGAAAUGGCACUUGUACAGGUGCUGCAUGGCUGUCGUCAGCUCGUGCCGUGAGGUGUUGGGUUAAGUCUCGCAACGAGCGCAACCCCUACCAUUAGUUGCCAUCAGGUUAUGCUGGGCACUCUAAUGGGACUGCCUACGCAAGUAGUGAGGAAGGUGGGGAUGACGUCAAGUCAGCAUGGCCCUUACGUCUAGGGCUACACACGUGCUACAAUGGGUGUUACAACGGGUUGCUGAGCCGCGAGGUGGAGCUAAUCCCUUAAAAGCACCCUCAGUUCGGAUUGCAGUCUGAAACUCGACUGCA